UAAUACGGAGGGUGCAAGCGUUAAUCGGAAUUACUGGGCGUAAAGCGCACGCAGGCGGUUUGUUAAGUCAGAUGUGAAAUCCCAGAGCUUAACUUGGGAACUGCAUUUGAAACUGGCAAGCUAGAGUCUUGUAGAGGGGGGUAGAAUUCCAGGUGUAGCGGUGAAAUGCGUAGAGAUCUGGAGGAAUACCGGUGGCGAAGGCGGCCCCCUGGACAAAGACUGACGCUCAGGUGCGAAAGCGUGGGGAGCAAACAGGAUUAGAUACCCUGGUAGUCCACGCUGUAAACGAUGUCGACUUGGAGGUUGUGCCCUUGAGGCGUGGCUUCCGGAGCUAACGCGUUAAGUCGACCGCCUGGGGAGUACGGCCGCAAGGUUAAA
RNAcentral lists this ribosomal RNA (378 nucleotides) under uncultured bacterium. RNAcentral's name for it is "bacterial SSU rRNA". It matches the Rfam family "Bacterial small subunit ribosomal RNA", at positions 521 to 898 of the family's 1533-position model. The record is from RNAcentral.